CCUACGGGUGGCAUCAGUGGGGAAUAUUGGACAAUGGGCGAAAGCCUGAUCCAGCCAUGCCGCGUGUGUGAAGAAGGCCUUCGGGUUGUAAAGCACUUUCAGUGGGGAAGAAAGCCUUGGGGCUAAUACCCUCGAGGAAGGACAUCACCCACAGAAGAAGCACCGGCUAACUCCGUGCCAGCAGCCGCGGUAAUACGGAUGGUGCGAGCGUUAAUCGGAAUUACUGGGCGUAAAGCGCGCGUAGGCGGUCUGAUAAGCCGGUUGUGAAAGCCCCGGGCUCAACCUGGGAACGGCAUCCGGAACUGUCAGGCUAGAGUGCAGGAGAGGAAGGUAGAAUUCCCGGUGUAGCGGUGAAAUGCGUAGAGAUCGGGAGGAAUACCAGUGGCGAAGGCGGCCUUCUGGACUGACACUGACGCUGAGGUGCGAAAGCGUGGGUAGCAAACAGGAUUAGAUACCCCUGUAGUC
RNAcentral lists this ribosomal RNA (465 nucleotides) under Vreelandella stevensii. RNAcentral describes it as "partial 16S ribosomal RNA". It matches the Rfam family "Bacterial small subunit ribosomal RNA", at positions 338 to 795 of the family's 1533-position model. The record is from RNAcentral. Lineage: Bacteria; Pseudomonadati; Pseudomonadota; Gammaproteobacteria; Oceanospirillales; Halomonadaceae.